GGCUUUUUCUUCUCUCUCCCUUAUCCUUUUCUGCUUCAUCUUCAUAUCAUUCGCCAUCUCCGACGCCGUUGUUCCCCCCGCCGACACUUUUCGGUAUGUCAACCAAGGCGAUUUUGGAGAACUCGAUUCCGAAUACGCCCCAACCUAUCGUCCUCUUCCUCCAUACACCUCCCCUUUCCAGCUCUGUUUCUACAAUACCACCCCCGGCGUCUACACUCUUAGUCUCCGCAUGGGAACCGGACGUGAUGAAGCGGUCAUGCCAUGGGUGUGGGAUGCCAACAGAGGCAACCCAGUUGGCGAAAACGCCACCUUCUCAUUAGCCUCCGACGGAAACCUUGUACUCGCCGACGGAGAUGGACGGAUCGCAUGGCAAACCAACACCGCCAACAAGGGUGUCGUCGGUUUUGCCAUACUCUCCACCGGUAACAUCGUGCUUCGUGACUCCAAGGGUGGUUUCGUCUGGCAAAGCUUUGAUUCACCUACUGAUACGCUUAUGUUUGGUCAAUCUCUCCGGAUCGGAGGUCCAACGAAGCUCGUCAGCAGAGCUUCAACGACGAACAACGUAAACGGAGCGUAUAGUUUCGUGAUAGAGCCAAAAAGAUUGGGUUUGUAUUAUAAGAACAUGCUUUAUUGGUCUUCCACGUUUCCAUUGUUUCCGGAAUUGAACCAACCAAAUGUGACUAUUGUUAAUGCGACAUUCGCCAUCGUGGAAACCGAAUACAAUAACGACUUUAACGCAAUUAGGUGUCAUCUUUCAAACUCUAAUGCUCAACCUUUUUUGGACAUGGACAUACUCCGAUUCAAUAACACGUUAUCCUAUAUCCGAUUAGGCAUCGAUGGGAACUUACGACUCUACUCUUAUCGUCCUCCGAAUAUCCGUUUUAGCCAAUGGCGUAUCGUGUUCAGAUUGUUCGAUAAUAUGGAGACCACGAGGCGGGGUUUAUAUGAAGACGAGUGCCAACUGCCUGAACGCUGCGGCAAGUUUGGGCUGUGUGAGGACAGCCAGUGUGUUGGGUGUCCGUCGCCGGAGGGUGUUUUUGCGUGGAGCAAAAACUGCAAUGCGAAGACGCCGUCUUGUAAAGCGGGUGGUUCUCGUUACUACCAGCUGAAAGGAGUCGACCAUUUCACUUCUAAAUACUCUCCGGGGAGUGGGCCGAUGAAACAGAAAGAUUGCGAGAGUAAAUGCACAAAGGACUGUAAGUGUAUGGGGUAUUUCUAUCGCACUGAUCUAUCGAGGUGUUGGAUCGCUAACGAGUUAAAAACUUUGACGAGGGUUGGGAACUCGACUCAUUUGGCGUACAUCAAAACACCCAUCCAGUAGUUGGAUAAGUCUACUAGGAAAGAGGGAAUAAGGAAGAUGAAAGAUUUGAAGAAAUAGCACUGUUUACUUGCUUUUCUAUAUUUUUACCUUCCAUUGUCUGUUUGUAUCGAAAUCAAAGAGACUAUGUGGUUGUAUAUUUUUUAAGAUGUAAAACGCUUCGGUAUGCAUAACACAUUUGCAGUAGAAUAAAUGUGUUUACAGUCUACAAGUGGACAAAAUAUUUACAGUUUAAAUAAAGUUUUUUUAAUAAUUAUAAAAAAUAAAAUUAAAAAUUGUUUCAAUAAUUACAAGAACGUAUAAACUGCAAAAUAUGAUUAUCUUGCGGAUUACCAUUUUUUUAUAAUUAUUGAAAAAAAUCUUUUAAUUUUAAUUUUGUUUACUUUAUCUUUUUUAUGUUGUAUGUAGAACUUAAAAAACAAUCAAUCUUUUCUUGUAAAUGCAAACAAUUAGUCCCCUUGUAGACUACCAACACCUUACCUAUUGAAGGCAUGUAUUUUUUCUAUAUGGUAUUUUAUUUUCUAUUAUGAAACAUGAAAUGCAAAUUUAAUUUGAAAAUCAGUAAAUCUAUAAAUAAUUUAAAAAAAAAAAAAAAAAAAACACUAAAAUUACGAUACACAAAAUUGUGUGUCGUCUUUAUUUAUGACAUGACCUUUCUUGACAGGGACUUCCUAGAUACGCAUUGCGUGUCAUAAACACGCGCUUCGUAAGGUUACGGCACGCAAAUGCGUGUCGUCUUCCUUUAUGACAGGGCCUUCCUUGAUACGCAUUGCGUAUCAUAACCGUGCGUCGUAAAUGCGCGUCGUCUAUAGAUGACGCGCAAAAGCGCGUCGUCUAUAGAUGACGCGCAAAAGCGCGUCGUCUCUCUUUAUGACAGGGCCUUCCUUAACGCGCAUUUGCGUGUCGUCUGAGCGUUUUACGAUGCGCAAUGAGCGUCGUAAAAGGCUGUUUUUUAGUGCGAUAAAGGGUCGGCCUUGGUGCCGUAGACCCUGUCGAUAUAGUGAGGAUAACCCACCUCGCGACUUUCGAAACUCUAAACUGAAGAAGCAGAUGCCCGAACCACCGUCUCACCAAAGAUCCUGAACUAUCCAAAGUAGCAAAAUACACAUUAGACCAAGCACAAUAUCCUUCCAAGGGUAAAUUGACCAAUUUACCCUUAACUCAAUUUGGUCCAUGACUAAGGUCCAUAAUGAAAAUAUGAAAGGCCCAACACUAGGUAAGCUCUCAAGCCUAUUAAUGGUCCAAAGACCAAAAGUCUGAAGCAAAGCCCAAUAUUGGCCCAAUUUACUAAAUUGGGCCCACCUCACCAAAUGGGCCUAGAUCCAAGGUCCAUAAUAAUUAGUGAGUCCAAAUUACUCCAUCCAUAAUGUCCAGUCACAGCCCAAGCCAUAUUAGCCCAAUAACAACCCAAUCUCUUAAGGCCCAAAAUGAAAACUCAACAGAGGGAGUACGUUGGGCGUUCCCUUCUUGGUAUGCUGGGUGUACAACAAUGCUCGCGGAUUGGAAUCAGGACACAGACCCACUACGUUGGGCGUACUCCCAUUUAGGCAGGGCGUAACCUCGCUGAACUACAACUCCACAUAAGAUCUUAAUGGCUUAAGCUCUUAAGCCCAAACUUCAGAUCCAUAGACAAAAUAUGCCUAGGAUUCAUAAAGUCUCAAACUUUAUUACUUGGGACGUCCAUAAACCUCUUAACCCAAGGUCUUAAUCCAUUAAGACCUACCUAUAUCACAUAUGAGACAACCAAAGCCCUUGGGACCUCAUUUUUCUUACUCAAGACCUCUCCUAAGGUCUGAAAGGACAACUAAUCUCGACCAACUCGAAUCAUGCAUCAAGUUGAGGUUUUUGGGACAAGAAUGGUGUUAAAACUUCACAACACAAAGAUCUAUACAAUAAGAUUGUCAAGCCAGAGACUUUUUACCUCAAAAGGGCUCCAGAAGAUGAUGCCUCUCCAGAUCUACGAGCUCCAGCCGCCCCACUCCUUCUUUGACAACUUAUGUUUUCUUCUUCUUGGUUUUCCUUUGCCAAAACAAGCUUUCCAAGGUCAACACACCCAACAAUGGAGGUGGAACGGCUAUCUAGGGUUUUCUGAGGGUAAGAGAGUGUUUAUGGAGGCUAGGGUUGGAACCAUAAUGUUCCUUAUAUAGUGGUUGACCCUAAAUUUAGGGUUUCUGGAUGAUAGACGUACGUUGGGCGUACAUCCAGUACGUUGGGCGUACGUCGAGAGACCUCCGCGUUCAUUUACUCCAUUACGUUGGGCGUACCUAGCCAAACACGUGCAUGAAUGCUUGGCAUGCAUGGGACCCCUUUGCUAAACUUCCCCCUUAGGGACCAUUGUUGUCAAUAUCUUCAAUUUACAACAUAUCCUCCAUCCUAAGUUCGUUCCCGACGAACUUUAUAUCCACAUAAAGGGGCGCGAGAAGACCUACGCUUCUAGUGACACACCCCGACCCGAAAACCCAUUUCGAAUAAACCCAAUACCCAUAAAAAGACCGAAACGCCCUUACUCUUGAUCUCGGGAACCCAUAAAUAGAUAUUUUAAGAACGGAGCGUUACAGAUAUUGAUUGGGAUGUUGUACAAGCAUUUAUGGUUUUUGCUAAGGUGUUUUAUGAAGUGUGAAAUCGGUUUUCGGGGUCUUUGUAUGUAACUUUUCGUGCUUACUUUCAUGAUAUGUGUUCAUUGCAUAGCCAUAUUCAUGAAUGCAUUAAAAGUGAUGGCGGGUGAGUUCAAUGGCUAUGAAUAUGAAAGCAAAGUAUGAUAAAUAUUGGGAAAAUGCAGAAAAGAUGAAUUCUAUAUUGUAUGUAGAUGUUGUUUUUGAUCCUCGAUACAAAUUAAAAUAUGUCAAUUGGAGUUUGGAAGAAAUAUAACCUAUCGGUGAUAUUGCAUGUGACUUGAAAAAAAGUUAAAAGCCACUUUGAAUCGACUUUAUGUCUUUUAUUUGGAAAAAGAUCCUAUGCAUGCCAAAAUUCUUCUUCAAACAAGAAUCAUAACAAAAGAAAAGUUAAUGAGAAUCUUAACAUACAAGAGAAACGUAUGCUAAAAUAUAAGGAACAUUUGGAAGAUGAAAAAAAUAGGAGAAUUGAGUGAGCUUGAAAGAUAUUUGUCAGACAAUCAAGAGCCAAGUUAUGAGUCAUUUGACUUGUUGGAUUGGUGGAAGACAAAUAAAGCAAAAUAUUGUAUUUUGGGAAAAAUUGCACGCGAUGUCGUGGUUGUUGCAGUUUCUAUAGUUGCUUCGGAAUCCACAUUUAGCACAUGGGGUAGAGUUUUGGAUUUAUUUAGGAGUAGUCUUUCUCCUAAAAGAGUGCAAGCGCUUGUAUGCACACAAAAUUGGAUUUGGGGUGUGUUUAACAAAACUGCAAAAGUUUGUUAUGAAGAUGUGUUGCAAGAAAUUGAAGACCUUGAAGAAAUUCAAAAUAGUAAGAUUUCAGAUGUUAAAAAGUUUUAUAUCUCUUUGUUAUUAUUUUUUACAAAAUAUAACCUGUAUUUCAGGUUUUGCAAGCGAACUUAGUAUUUGCGCCGACAAUAUCGAUUGAAAGAUACUUUUCUUCUCAUGGUCUUAUAUUGAACUUUUGGUGUGAUGUUUUAAUAUUGAGUUUUUUGAACAAUAAACACAUAUGAAUUGGAUGACAUUUUGGAAGUGGAUAACAUUUUGGAAGUGAGCUUGCGGAUAAUGGAAAAAUAUUUGUGGUUUGUGUGUAUCGGUCUGAUGUUUGAUGUAAUGGAACAAUAUUUGUUAUUUUUAUUUACUGUUUUGGAUGGUUUUUAGGUUGCAUGAAUAGAUACAAAUGCUUGACGUAAUAGAAAGAUUUUAAAAAGUUUUAACAACUUUAAUAUGUUGUUUUUUUAACAAUUUUUUGCAGUUUUCUGGCAAUUUUGAUAGCUUUAAUGUUGUUUUUUUGGCAGAUUUUUUGACAGUUGUAACAAUAUAGCAGUUUUUUUUAACAAUUUAAUGUACUCGACAAAAAAUGAGCCUAAAAAGCCCAAACCGUGAAACUAAACCAGAACCAAACCGUUAGUAACAAUUUGAUUUUGUUUGGUUUUAAUUUUUAAACGGUUCCGCUGCGGUUUUUGAUCGAAAAAAAAAACUGUGAAGACCUCUAAGUAGAGGUUCGUUUUGUAUCAAUAUUAAUAAUAAUUUUUUAGUAGCUUCUUAUUAUCAUUAUAAAAUUAAUAGAAAAAUAAAAAGAAAUAAACACAAGUCAUGAUUACAAUAAUUUAAAAUAUAAUAUUGUUAUUUUAAAAAUAUAUUUUAAUUGCAUUUGUUUAUUUGAUAAUGAUAUCCAUCCCUUUAAUAAUGUAUACAACCGGGAUACCAGUAACUUAUGCACUUUCAAUAAAUUAACAUGCUUUCGGAAAAAAAAAUUGUAAAUUUGUAUUUGUAUGUAUAUAUACAUGCAUAUUUCCAACAAAGCAACACCGCUAACCAUGGCUUUUUCUGCACUCUCCCUUAUCCUUUUCUGCUUCAUCUUCAUAUCAUUCGCCAUCUCCGACGCCGUUGUUCCCCCCGCCGACACUUUUCGGUAUAUCAACCAAGGCGAUUUUGGAGAACUCGAUUCCGAAUAUGCCCCAACCUAUCGUCCUCUUCCUCCAUACACCUUCCCUUUCCAGCUGUGUUUCUACAACACCACCCCCGGCGUCUACACUCUCAGUCUCCGCAUGGGAACCAGACGUGAUGAAGCGGUCAUGCCAUGGGUGUGGGAUGCCAACAGAGGCAACCCAGUUGGCGAAAACGCCACCUUCUCAUUAGCCUCCGACGGAAACCUUGUACUCGCCGACGGAGAUGGACGGAUCGCAUGGCAAACCAACACCGCCAACAAGGGUGUCGUCGGUUUUGCCAUACUCUCCACCGGUAACAUCGUGCUUCGUGACUCCAAGGGUGGUUUCGUCUGGCAAAGCUUUGAUUCACCAACUGAUACUCUCUUGUUUGGUCAAUCUCUCCGGAUCCGAGGUCCGACGAAACUCGUCAGCAGAGCUUCAACGACGAACAACGUUAACGGAGCGUAUAGUUUCGUGAUAGAGCCAAAAAGAUUGGGUUUGUAUUAUAAGAACAUGCUUUACUGGGCUUCCACGUUUCCGGCGUAUCCGGAAUUGAACCAACCAAAUGUGACUAUUGUUAAUGCAACAUUCGACAUCGUGGAAACCGAAUACAAUAACGACUUUAACGCAAUUAGGUGUCAUCUUUCAAACUCUAAUGCUCAACCUUAUCUGGACAUGGACAUACUCCGAUUCAAUAACACGUUAUCCUAUAUCCGAUUAGGCAUCGAUGGGAACUUACGACUCUACUCUUAUCGUCCUCCGAAUAUCCGUUUUAGCCAAUGGAGUCUGGUGUUUAGAUUGUUCGAUAACAGGGAGACCACGAGGCAGGGUUUAUAUGAAGACGAGUGCCAACUGCCUGAACGCUGCGGCAAGUUUGGGCUGUGUGAGGACAGCCAGUGUGUUGGGUGUCCAUCGCCGGAGGGUGUUUUUGCGUGGAGCAAAAACUGCAACGUGAAGACGCCGUCUUGUAAAGCUGGUGGUUCUCGUUACUACCAGCUCAAAGGGGUCGACCAUUUCACCUCUAAAUACUCUGCGGGGACUGGGCCGAUGAAGCAGAAAGAUUGCGAGAGUAAAUGCACAAAGGACUGUAAGUGUAUGGGGUAUUUCUAUCGCACUGAUCUAUCGAGGUGUUGGAUCGCUAACGAGUUAAAAACUUUGACGAGGGUUGGGAACUCGACUCAUUUGGCGUACAUCAAAACACCCAUCCAGUAGUUGGAUAAGUCUACUAGGAAGAGGGAAUAAGGAAGAUGAAAGAUUUGAAGAAAUAGCACUGUUUACCUGCUUUUCUUAUUUUUACCUUCCAUUGUGUGUUUGUAUCGAAAUCAAAGAGUCUAUGUGGUAUACUUUUUAAGAUGUAAAACGCUUUGGUAUGCGUAACACAUUUGCAGAAGAGUAAUGUGUUUCCAGUCUACAAGAAAAAAGAUCGAUUAUUUAUUAAAUUCUACAACGACAUAAAAAAGGGUAGCUGCUAUUUGUAUACACCUCUAGGGAAUGAAAGACGAGAUCACAUCAAUCAUCGUGGUCUUUCUAUAAAUUUUAUAAGGUAGGCUAAAUUUUUUUUCUUAUUUUACCAUUUAGACGCCCUUAAUUAAUUUUAAAUUUUUUUUUUAUUGUCGCCAGAACAAAUGCUAUCAGAAAAGUUAAAAACCCUGUCGCAUGGUAUAGAUACAUGUGGGAUAUUAUUGGAAAAUAGAGAACAUAAUUUUUGGAGUUUCGGUUUUUUGGGCUAAAUUUAGGGUAGAGUGUUAUAGAUGAUUCCUGAUUGGUUAAUAAGGCUGGGGGAAUUGGAGUCACCGAAAAUGCAUUCCUUCUCCCAUCACAUAAGCGUCAUGUCAUUUUUUACCACUCAAAUGUGGUUUCUUGCCACAUCAAGUGUGUAGUGCCACACUUUUCAUUUCUUUUAUUUUUUUGUUUUUUUUAAGUAUUUUAAUUUAAUAAAACUUCCUUUUUUUAACUAUUUUAAUUUAAUAUAACUUAUAUUUUAAUAACAAAAACAUAAUUUUUCAUUACUUAAAAAUUAAAAAAAAAAAACACUAUAUUACGUUACUAAAAAAAACCCAUACAUAUGACAUUUAAAUAAUCUUAGAAACUUAAAAAACAUAAAUAAAAUAACUAAAGCAAACUACAUAAAGUCAUUCUCCGAGAACUCGUCUUCGGGGUCAUCCGGUGAAUCCAAAUUAAGGUUAAUGUUUUGAACCCUAUAAAUGUUUUCCAAGUCAUUGCGAAGAUUGUAAAAUGUUUCAGUGCAAUGUAUCUUUGCUCUCCUGUUUAUAUACUCUUCGCCACCAAUUUCUAUUGGCUAUGUCUCUGGUAUGGUUUCUUCUUCGUCAAACUCACAUAUCGCUUUUCCUUCGUCUUCAUUAAUCAUGUUAUGCAAUAUAAUACAUGUAUAUAUGAUUUCUUGAAGUUUUUCCUUGCCCAAAUAAGUUGUUGGUUUUUUCAAUAUGAACCACCGUUUCUUCAGAGCUCCAAAGGCACGCUCAACAUCUUUCUUAGCUCUUUCUUGAGCUCUCUUAAAUUUCUUUUGUCAAGAACCAUGUGGAGCUGAAAACGGUUUAACAAACACAGCGUACUUAGGAUAGAUUCCAUCGACCAGAUAAUAACCAUACUUAUAUGGCGUUCCACGCACUUGAAAAGAAGAAUCUGGUGCGAAUCUAUCGUAUAUGUUGUUAAAUAUUAAUGAACGGUUAAGAACGUUGAUGUCGUUAAUCGAACCAAGAGAACCAAAAAAAGCAUGCCAAAUCCACAUAUCUUGUGAUACAACUGCUUCAAGUAUGACCGUUGGGUGACCAUGAUCACCUCGGGUAAAUUGCCCAUAAUAUGUUGUAGGGCAAUUUUCCCAUGCCCAAUGGAGACAAUCUAAGCUUCCUAGCAUUUCAAGAAACCCAUGCACACUAGCAUGAUGAGCUUGCAAUUGCAGGAUGUCAUUACGUGUAGGCUUACGUAAAUAUUUUGGACCAGAAAACUGAAUCAUAGUUUUGCAGAAAAAAUGGAGACUGUCUCGUGCUAUCCUAGCAGACAUCCUAAAACUUUCGUCUAGCGCAUCAGGCGGAAUUCCAUAUGCUAACUGACGAAGUGUGCCCGUGCAUUUUUGUAAGAGAGUGAAACCGAGUGUACCUCUAGUAUCGUAGCGUUGUUGGAAAAAACUACACUCCCUCGUUACAUCGUCAACUAUACGUUCGAAUAAACCUUUGAGCAUUCUGAAGCGCCUACGAAAUACCUUGGUAAGUGGCAUUCUCUGCAAAAUAUUCUUGCACCAGACGUUGGUUGACUUCUUCACGAUUUCUGUAAAUAUAUCUUCGUGUUCUCUGUUGAGAACUUACAGCUGCGUUGUUACAUACAACGUUGUAUGUUUGUUCCGCCAUUUAAACACACGCAAUAGCGAUAUCAAAAAUAGUCUGAAAUUCUUCAGAAGAUGAAGAAGAUGACAUUUUUGAGAGAGUGGUGAUUUAAAUUUUUUUUUUUUUUUUUGAGAGAGAAAGGAGAUUGUGUUGUAAAAAAAAAGAUUAAGUUGAUAUGUAUAUAUAUAGAAAAGAAAAAGCAAAAGAAAAAAAAUUAAAUGCUCAACGUCAAUCCUUCCCAACUUCCCUCAACCAAUCAGAACACACGGUCUUAGAGAACCGCACUAUGGCCAAGAUUGUACUAGACCGCGGUCUGAAAACGGUGUUUCAAUACUACGUGGCAUAAAGUGCGGUCUGGAACGGUACCCGCACCGUGAAGCCUAAGUAAAGCAAACGGAUUUUGACGGACACACGAACCCGCGAUACUAGUAACUAUUACCUUUUCAUUAAAUUAACAUUCUUUCAUAAAGAGAAUAUAAAAGUCUAUAUAUAUGCAUAUAUAUCCGACAAGGCAACACAGUAACCAUGGUUUCUUCUCUCUCCCUUAUCCUUUGCUGCUUCAUCUUCAUAUCGUUAUCCAUCUCCAACGCCGUUGUUCCUCCCGCCGAUACUUUUCGGUAUGUCAAUCAAGGCGAUUUUGGAGAAUUCGAUUCCGAAUACGCCCCAAACUAUCGUCCUCUUCCUCCAUUCACCUACCCUUUCCAGCUCUGUUUCUACAACACCACCCCCGGUGUCUACACUCUCAGUCUCCGCAUGGGAACCAGACGUGAUCAAGCAGUCAUGCCAUGGGUGUGGGAUGCCAACAGAGGCAACCCAGUUGGCGAAAACGCCACCUUCUCAUUAGCCUCCGACGGAAACCUUGUACUCGCCGACGGAGAUGGACGGAUCGCAUGGCAAACCAACACCGCCAACAAGGGUGUCGUCGGUUUUGCCAUACUCUCCGAUGGUAACAUCGUGCUUCGUGACUCCAAGGGUGGUUUCGUCUGGCAAAGCUUUGAUUCACCGACUGAUACACUCUUGUUUGGUCAAUCUCUCCGGGUCGGAGGUCCGACGAAGCUCGUCAGCAGAGCUUCAGCGACGAACAACGUUAACGGAGCGUAUAGUUUCGUGAUAGAGCCAAAAAGAUUGGGUUUGUAUUAUAAGAACAUGCUUUACUGGGCUUCCACGUUUCCCGAAGUGAACGACCGAAAUGUGAAUAUUGUCAAUGCAACAUUGGAAAUCCAGAGAACCGAAUACGAAGAAAACUACUUUAAUGCGCUAAAGUGUCGUCUUUCAAACUCUGAAGCUCAACCUAAUUUGGACUUCGACAUACUCCGAUACAAUAGCACGUUAUCAUAUCUCCGAUUAGGCAUCGAUGGGAACUUAAGACUCUACUCUUAUCGUCAGAAUGUCCGUUUCAGCUCAUGGAGUCUGAUGUUCACUUUGUUCACUAGAAGGGUGAGCGAGAGGGGAGAGAUAGUUGAAGACGAGUGCCAACAGCCUGAUCGCUGCGGCAAGUUUGGGCUGUGUGAGGACAGCCAGUGCGUUGGGUGUCCGUCGCCGGAGGGUGUUUUUGCGUGGAGCAAAACUUGCAACGUGAAGACGCCAUCUUGUAAAGCGGGUGGUUCUCGUUACUACCAGCUCAAAGGGGUCGACCAUUUCACUUCUAAAUACUCUCCGGGGAGUGGGCCGAUGAAACAGAAAGAUUGCGAGAGUAAAUGCACAAAGGACUGUAAGUGUAUGGGGUAUUUCUAUCGCACUGAUCUAUCGAGGUGUUGGAUCGCUUACGAAUUGAAAACUUUGACGAGGGUUGGGAACUCGACUCAUUUGGCUUAUAUCAAAACACCUAUUCAGUAGCUCUGUGGUGCACGAGAAACCGGGAACAAGGAAGGUGCACUGUAUAGUUGCUUUUAGUAAAUUCUGACCUUCCAUUGUGUCUUUGUAUCGAAAUCAAAUAAUAUUCUUGUUUUGAUUUAUAAAAAAUUAGGUUAUAUGAGAUAACCGUUAUAUAUAAAUAAUAUUUAAAAUGAUUAAAAAAAUAUUUUUAUUAAAUUCAUCAUUUACAACCAACUUAUAAAAUAUAGCAGAUGUGCAAGAAAAAGAAAAAAACUUUUUUGAAAUAGUAUGUAAGAUGGUGCCGUAAAUAAUGCGAAUUAAUUUAAUAGAAGGAUUUGACUUAUAAUGGUAAGUUUAUCAUAAGAUUUAUGCUUAAAAUUUGAUUUUUUUUUUUUUAAAUCUAGAUGCAACCUUGGGAGGUUGUAAUUAAUUUACGACGGAAUAACAAAUCUAUUUAUAUAAACAAAAUGUAUUUUUAUAAACAAAACAUAAGUUUAUUAUUAUUAAUUUUAUCUUUUUUUAUCCACAUUGUGUCA
RNAcentral lists this long non-coding RNA (11547 nucleotides) under Lactuca sativa (garden lettuce). RNAcentral describes it as "long non-coding RNA (LSAT_LNC007664)". The record is from RNAcentral. Lineage: Eukaryota; Viridiplantae; Streptophyta; Magnoliopsida; Asterales; Asteraceae.